CCUACGGGAUGCUGCAGUCGAGAAUCUUUCACAAUGGGGGCAACCCUGAUGGAGCGACGCCGCGUGGAGGAUAAGGUCUUCGGAUUGUAAACUCCUGUCAUGCGAGAACAAGGUUGCAGGGCUAACACCUUUGCAAAUUGAUGGUACCGCAAGAGGAAGAGACGGCUAACUCUGUGCCAGCAGCCGCGGUAAUACAGAGGUCUCAAGCGUUGGUGGGAAUCGCUGGGAGUUGGCGUUGCGUGUCAGAUGUGAAAGCCCGGGGCUCAACCUCGGAAUUGCAUCCGAUACUGCCAUGCUGGAGUACUGAAGAGGUGACUAGAAUUCUAGGUGCAGCAGUGAAAUGCGUAGAUAUCUAGAGGAAUACCAACGGCGAAGGCAGGUCACUGGGCAGUUACUGACACUGAGGCACGAAGGCCAGGGGAGCAAGCGGGAUUAGAUACCCCAGUAGUC
RNAcentral lists this ribosomal RNA (450 nucleotides) under uncultured bacterium. RNAcentral describes it as "partial 16S ribosomal RNA". It matches the Rfam family "Bacterial small subunit ribosomal RNA", at positions 338 to 795 of the family's 1533-position model. The record is from RNAcentral.